Molecule: ribosomal RNA, 519 nt
Filed under: uncultured beta proteobacterium
Lineage: Bacteria; Pseudomonadati; Pseudomonadota; Betaproteobacteria
Description: SSU rRNA
Rfam family: Bacterial small subunit ribosomal RNA
Source: RNAcentral
GAGUUUGAUCCUGGCUCAGAUUGAACGCUGGCGGCAUGCCUUACACAUGCAAGUCGAACGGCAGCACGGGAGCAAUCCUGGUGGCGAGUGGCGAACGGGUGAGUAAUAUAUCGGAACGUGCCCAGUCGUGGGGGAUAACGCAGCGAAAGCUGUGCUAAUACCGCAUACGAUCUCUGGAUGAAAGCGGGGGACUCGCAAGAGCCUCGCGCGAUUGGAGCGGCCGAUAUCAGAUUAGCUAGUUGGUGGGGUAAAGGCUCACCAAGGCGACGAUCUGUAGCUGGUCUGAGAGGACGACCAGCCACACUGGAACUGAGACACGGUCCAGACUCCUACGGGAGGCAGCAGUGAGGAAUAUUGGACAAUGGGCGCAAGCCUGAUCCAGCCAUGCCGCGUGCAGGAUGACGGUCCUAUGGAUUGUAAACUGCUUUUGUACAGGAAGAAACCCUUUCACGUGUGGAAGAUUGACGGUACUGUAAGAAUAAGGAUCGGCUAACUCCGUGCCAGCAGCCGCGGUAAUAC